AUACUUACCUGGCAGGGGAGGUAGUGUGAUAGUGAAGACGGUUUUCCCAGGGGAAGACGUAGCCAAUGCACUCCAAAUGUGCUGACCCCUGCAUUUUCCACAAAUGUGGGGAACUCAACUACACAACUUAUGGCAGUGGGGGGGGGGAGGGCUUCAUUCACA
Molecule: small nuclear RNA, 162 nt
Organism: Apodemus sylvaticus (European woodmouse)
Lineage: Eukaryota; Metazoa; Chordata; Mammalia; Rodentia; Muridae
Product: U1 spliceosomal RNA
Exons: 1
Source: RefSeq, a predicted model, not a curated record